This is a long non-coding RNA of Bos taurus (domestic cattle), 945 nucleotides long. Lineage: Eukaryota; Metazoa; Chordata; Mammalia; Artiodactyla; Bovidae. The record is from Ensembl.
GUUACUCAAGGAGGCAUGAAUCAACGGGCAAAAAGCUCAAGAGUAGGGAAUGACACGGUGUAGGUCGGAUGAGACCAGAUUAAAGUAGCAGUGAAACCAGACAGAAGAGGCAUUUAGGAAGAAAGAGAAAGUUCCAGGAGAGUUUCAAGCAAUAGUUUAAGGAAGAUUAGUCUGGCAAGUAAUAUGCAGGCUGGUGGCAGCUAAGAUGGAAAAGAACAAGGAAAAUUAUCUAUUAGCCAUUCAUAGCAGUGGUAAUGGAGAGAAAUGGAGAGAUAAGAAACAAAGGAAAAAACUGAAAAGUAUGGAUGACUAGCUGGAUGUAGAGGAUACCCUGGUCCUCAGUGGCGGUAAAGACUGAGACCACUUUGUUUGGGCUGCUUUCUUGGACAGUGGUUUCAAGCCAUUGUGUCCAGAGUAUCGUGAGUACAAUCGACUCAUUGAUAAGGAAAAUUUUUUCUCGCUGCCCACAGCUUUCAUCACUUGGUUCUGAAGGACACAGUGGAGGGAACAAAUAAUGAGCGUGGUCUGGAUAACAGUUUGAAGAGAGAGACCAUUGAUUACAAUACAGAUAGAACUGCACUUCAUCAACUUAGCGGAAAGCAGCUGACAGUGGACUUCACACCUAACUCGAAUAAGGAAUUGCUAUGAAAAGUGACCCAGCGAGGAUAACUGCCCUGCGCGGUUCGAUGAGGUCACGGCAGGCAGGAGGGUAAGGACUCCAAGAACCGCAGCAGCAGCAUCGGGGGCCCAGGACCCGGACCCGGACCGGGAUGCGCCCCGGAAGCCAGCGGCUCCUGGCGGUAGCGAGGAGUGGUUAAGUGCAGCUGAGUUGUUCCUUGGGAGAUAUAUUCAACAACUGCAGUGUUCUUGGUGAUGUUUUAAAAAGGUAUGUACCCAGAAGUAGAAUUGCUAGAUCAUAUGGAAGAGAUACCCCAGGUCCAAGAU